Molecule: long non-coding RNA, 944 nt
Organism: Pristis pectinata (smalltooth sawfish)
Lineage: Eukaryota; Metazoa; Chordata; Chondrichthyes; Rhinopristiformes; Pristidae
Exons: 2
Source: RefSeq, a predicted model, not a curated record
GGCACCUGGACAGUAGAGUAGUGUGUGUGUGUGUGUGUGUGUGUGUGUGUGUGUGUGUGUGUGUGUGUGUGUGUGUGUGUGUGUGUGUGUGUGUGUGUGUGUGUGUGUGUGUGUGUGUGUGGUGUUAUCUACAAGAUGGCAAAACUAUAAUUGGAGCUGGACUGGCUGUUUGUACAGAGAGUCGGAGAGAGAAAGAGAGAGAGACAGAGACAGAGACUGACUGCUGGUCUCUGUAUCGAUGGAUGAAGAACAAUAGUUGUAUCUUUCACUACAAUCCACGUAUGGAUUUUUGGAACAAUCAAGUGAAGUCCACUUUGUCGUUAACCUGUACUGGAAAACAGGUAUUUUUGUGGGCGGCCAAAAAAUACCGCCGCCCACAGAUACUUCUAGUGGCAGAUACUUCGGAACAAAGCAGUGGGGAUCUUCAGUGAUUGAGUUAUUAAUCUUCUCCGUGGAUUGUCACCUGGUCGUGGUGGAGAAGCUUGUGUGGUCCUGAGAUCCCUAGAGCGAUGCCGUCUGGAGCUAUGCUCCUGGUAGGGUCACCCAUGGCAGUAAGGUCGAUGGUGAGGUUCCUGACAAAGAACAAUCCAACCAAGACCUCAACGGUGGAACAGGCGGAUGAAGUUACUUCAAACUCAACGGCUGUGAAGGCGGAUGAAGGCUGCAACAAAUCCAUCAGCUCCAAUCGUCGUGGUUUCCAUGCCAUUGGAAUCAGUUGGUUGAUUUGUGAAGUAUCGUGUGCUUUUUGUAGUGCAACAUCAAGUACACGUUAAACAAAUACACGCACAGGCGUCUUCGCUCUGUGGGCUACUUAGAGCCAAGAUUGGACUCAAGCCACUUGAGAGCCCAUAAAUAGAUCAACGGAACGAAGACCAUCAUCCUCGACCUCGAGGGUUAGCCACGACGGCGACGAGGAGUUAUUAAUAAAAUAGUUUCUAACACUU